CCUACGGGGGGCAGCAGUGAGGAAUAUUGGUCAAUGGACGAGAGUCUGAACCAGCCAAGUAGCGUGAAGGAUGACUGCCCUACGGGUUGUAAACUUCUUUUAUAAGGGAAUAAAACGUUCCACGUGUGGGAUUUUGUAUGUACUAUAUGAAUAAGGAUCGGCUAACUCCGUGCCAGCAGCCGCGGUAAUACGGAGGAUCCGAGCGUUAUCCGGAUUUAUUGGGUUUAAAGGGAGCGUAGGUGGAUUGUUAAGUCAGUUGUGAAAGUUUGCGGCUCAACCGUAAAAUUGCAGUUGAUACUGGCAGUCUUGAGUACAGUAGAGGUGGGCGGAAUUCGUGGUGUAGCGGUGAAAUGCUUAGAUAUCACGAAGAACUCCGAUUGCGAAGGCAGUUCACUGGACUGCAACUGACACUGAGGCUCGAAAGUGUGGGUAUCAAACAGGAUUAGAUACCCGUGUAGUC
This 460-nucleotide ribosomal RNA is filed under the name uncultured bacterium. RNAcentral describes it as "partial 16S ribosomal RNA". It matches the Rfam family "Bacterial small subunit ribosomal RNA", at positions 338 to 795 of the family's 1533-position model. The record is from RNAcentral.